This 247-nucleotide ribosomal RNA is filed under the name uncultured bacterium. RNAcentral describes it as "partial 16S ribosomal RNA". It matches the Rfam family "Bacterial small subunit ribosomal RNA", at positions 103 to 334 of the family's 1533-position model. The record is from RNAcentral.
CGGGUGAGUAACACGUGGGUAAUCUGCCCUUAGGUCUGGAAUAACCCGGGGAAACUCGAGCUAAUACCGGAUAAUGCCCCGUAAGGAGACUUACGGGGAAAAAGCGGGGGACCUCUUCGGAGGCCUCGCGCCAGAGGAUGAGCCCGCGGUCCAUCAGCUUGUUGGUGGGGUAAUGGCCCACCAAGGCUAAGACGGAUAGCUGGUCUGAGAGGAUGAUCAGCCACACUGGAACUGAGACACGGUCCAG